Molecule: long non-coding RNA, 4025 nt
Organism: Lutra lutra (Eurasian river otter)
Lineage: Eukaryota; Metazoa; Chordata; Mammalia; Carnivora; Mustelidae
Exons: 3
Source: RefSeq, a predicted model, not a curated record
CCAAUGGUUCCAAAGAAACUGGUUUCUCUUCUCUGCCACAGCUCUCCUAGGCCACGGUCUGAAUGGAAGGGUGUUUUGGCUUUGUUCUACCAUGUCCACGAUUACUUUUAAAGGACUAUCAGCUAUCUCCAUUGCUUGGGCAGCUGAGGUCCUGGAGCCAAGUCUGGAGGUUGCACGAUAAGGAGACAACGAGUCAGGAUAAGAAGAAAAAACUGAGACAGGAAGGGAGAGUCCGGGGUUUGUGACAACUCUGAAUAGACAAGAGGGAGAAAAGAACCUCUGCAGGAACCGCGUGGAACAGGUGAAAAGAGCGUUCUGGGAUUUGACUUUCGCCAGCUCCAGAGCGCUCUUCCCCCCCCCCCCCCCCCCACGAGACAUCCAAGAUGGCGCCAGGCCCGCGCGGUUGGAGGUCACCGGCACGCGGAAGGGGCAGCCCUAAGGCGCGGGAAUACCAGGAACAAAGGAGGGCGUGAGGACCAGGGUGGGCGCAUGCAAGUGAUCAGCCAGGAAUGAGGAAACCAGCAUCACCAAACCAGAAGAUAGGGGCUAAUGAUGAUGGUGACUCAAGCGCCCUGACACUAAGCCUUCUCUCCGGAGUCCUGAGACAGUCAAGGAAUAGUGGGCACCAGGGACCUGUAGUGAGGUUGUGAGGUCACCGCAGGCAUGCCCCUGCCUCUGCCCAGACUCCAUCUGUGGGAGUUGAGAUAAGCCGUCCUCCCGCGAGAUGUUCUCAUGGAAGCCCUUCGGCUUCUCCCUCGUGCCCUUUGGCUCUUUCUUUCCCAGAUGGAAAGCAGUAGGGGUGGGGGGCUCCCGGCCCUCAUCCCAUCCUCUAGGCCUCUUUGUCUCCCAAGACAGGCGACCAGCCGCUCCCUUGGAAGGAAGGCGACAAGGCCUAUCCACUUCCCCUCAUGUCCAAACGCCAGCCAUCCAGGCAUCGUGCUUGAACGCGGCUCGAGAAGGACGGGGAAAGCUCACCAAACCCCCAUAAAAAAUAAAAAAUAAAAAGAAAGCCGCGGCUGUAAAUAAAGCCAAAUCCGCCACCCUCUGAGGGGCCGUUUGUCCUCCCCUCCUUGGCCGCGUCCUUCCCGCCGCCCCCUCCCGGCUCCCAGGCCCCGCGGCGCCCCGGCCCCGAGCUCCUCCAUUUAAUCGGAUUUGGGAGAAGGGGAGGAUAAAUCACGGCAGCAGCUUUACGGUCCCGGAGGAGAGGCGAGCCGCAGCCAGGCACACCCCGGCCGGCGAUAAAAACCGCCGCUGAAAGCCCACGGAGCAAUUUCCCGGGACCCCGAGCGACGCCAUUACAGGAAUGUAAUUUUGCCCGGAUGAGGCCCCGAGUUUAAUUAUCCUCGCGGAGGAAUUUCAAUGCGGCCAAUCCAUCUUGCAGGCGGGCGGCAGAGGGAUUUAUAUGGGCCCGUUAUUUCACACCGAUCCUCCAUCUGCAUUUUUAUGGCCCUGAGCUCCUGAAAGGGAGGGGAAGGAGUGGGGAGAAAUCGGAGACGCGGGUGAGGAGAGAAGGGUGGGGGACCUCCUGCCUUUCCUAAAUCCACGAUUCCAGCUCGCUGAAAGCAUUGCAAUUCGGAUUCUGCACUGCUUCCUGGAGACUUGAUUGGAAGAUCCCAGCAGUGGUAUCUCCUGAGACUCAACUAUGACAUACUGAACUUUUUCACCCUCAUAAAUCAUGCAAAACAGGUUCUUUGACAGCUCGGUGGAUAGAGAGAUCUGUGGGGGAGGACUGAGAGUGGGGGAGGCUGGCUAUUGUGGCCAGGCUUGAAGUCAGAAAUUAAAUCCGUAGGGGAACAGUGAGACUGCAAAAACUGGCUGAGGUAUGUGAGAGAGGGGUGAAUUGGAAGACAGCAAAAGAGAGAGUUAGCAAAGGGUCUUAGGGAUCUUUUUAACUCGGUUUGGGAAAGGGCCCUUCCACCACAUCAGCGAGGGAAAACUAGGAUCCCGGAAGGAAAGGGUGUGGAGCCAGACUAUCCUUUCCAAUCAAUCCCUUUCUUUUCCUACCAGACCAUGUAACAAGGCUGGCCUGAUUGGCCAGUUUUUCUAAUGACUGUUGGUGGCACAUUCUCACUGGUUAGCAGCCUCCCUGCACAGUGGUGACGGAGAAAUGAGAUUGAUCUUUUCUUUCUUAGGAUUGGUUAACAGCUCUCAAGGGGGCCAGAGACUCAUUUUAAUUGACUGGAUAGACUAGGAGGGAGGUCCAGCACCUCUCAUAUAGAAAUUGAGUGUUGUUUUCCAUAAAGGUCAAGAAGAGUCUUGAUUGGCUUAUGCAUGUUUGUCUUUGGACGGAAAACAAUAGCUUAGAAAAGAAAAAUCAAAGGAAUCAUGCAGGCGUGCUACAAUUCAGUUUGAAACCCCAGAGAGAUGGAUUCUCAGAAACAUUAGAAGGAUAAAAAGAGAGAGAGUAGGACACAGAGAAACGCAAAGGAAAAAAAUUGCCAGAGAGAAGAGGAAGGGUUUGAAUAAUUUAUUUUUCACUCCUGAUGGCUUAAGAUGAGGCUACUUUAUGACGUGUUUUGCUAGAUGCACAUGUCACCAGGACGUGACAUAGAAAGAACAGCUGUCCUGGAAGCAGGAAACUGGGAGUCUAGUCCCAGCCUUGCUACUAAUGACCUGAAUUAACUUUGCAAGUUACUUCAUAUCUCAAAACUCCAAUUUCCUCACUUGGAAAAAUCAGGGAGAAAAGUAGGUGAUUUUUAAGGUUCUCUCCAGGGUUAACUUUCUAGGAUAUUCUUUCUUUCUGUUAAAUAGGUACUUGUGUACAAGUUGGAGUGCGAAGGCACUGCCAAUAAGAACUAUUUUUUUAAGUGUUUUUUUUUUUUUUUUAAACUAAUCUCUACAUCUAAUGUGGGGCUCAAACUCAUGACCCCAGGAUCAAGAGUCGAAUGUUCUUCUGACUCAGCCAGUCGGGGACCUCAACAAGGGCUGUUCUGAAGUCUUGAGCUCUAUUUGCGAUUGUUAAUUUCAAGCACCUGGGGCUGAUGGGCACUGAUGGAUUUCCUACUUCUCUUGCUAAAUCAGUUCCCCAGAAGAGCAAGACUGUGAGCCAUCAGUAAACGUGCGUAUUCCUGGAGGAAGAAAACACUAGAUGGAGGGAGGGAAAGAAUCGUUAGUAUCCAGGCUUCUGAGGGAGGGACCAGUGGGAAAGUUGGUGGCAAGACAGCCAAAUUUUGCUGGAGAAGAAACUAGAUUCCUUUGAAUUUGUAUGAUAAAUUUGUAUAGGUCCUACACACUUAUCUAGAAACUAUGAUUAAGUAUCUGUGUAAACAUAGAUUUGGUGCGUGCCUUUUGGUAGCUUCCAAGCCAAGGAACACACACAGACAACACAGAAAAUAAAAGUCAUUGUGAUAUAAUGUGGGGUGACUGGGUCGCUCACUUGUCGGGCAUCUGCCUUUGGCUCAGGUCAUGAUCCCAGGGUCCUGGGAUCAAGUCCCUUCUGAGUGGCGAGACUGCUUUUCUCCCUCUGUCUCUACCCUUCCUCCCCACUCAUGCUCUCUUUCUCUCUCUCACAUAAUGUCUAAAAAAAAAAAAAAGUCAUUGUGAUAUAAUGUGAAGAGCUAAGGACACAAACUAGAGACCUGAAUCUAUUAUAGUUUGUAAUACUGAUAAUUAGUUAUAUGACUUAGAAGAAAAAAAUCACUUUACUUCUCUAAACUUCAAUUUUCUUAGCUGCAAAGUGUAGAAAAGCCACUAGAUGACUAAUUAAGUUCUUUUUCAGCUUUAAAUAUAAAUAGCAUAGCUUUAUCCUUUCUGGUUUGCCCUUGUCUCCUGUGACUUCAGUAAUCAAUCAACAUUUAUUGAGUAUCUACUAUGUGCAAGGUAUUGUGCUUCAUAUCAUGAAUGGGAAUAAAAAGGGGGAAAGCAUAAUCCCUUGUCUUCAUAAGUUCAUAAUCAGUAAGAAAGACAAGUGCAUAUAUAGCUAUAAUAUGCAGCAAGAUUAAAUAGGUUAUUUGGGUAAUAGGAAUUGAGGAAGCAGUAUGAAUUCCAUCUAGAAUGAUCAAGGGGACACCGUGAUUAAAGUAGAU